This 775-nucleotide ribosomal RNA is filed under the name uncultured Neocallimastigales. RNAcentral's name for it is "partial large subunit ribosomal RNA". It matches the Rfam family "Eukaryotic large subunit ribosomal RNA", at positions 23 to 646 of the family's 3401-position model. Lineage: Eukaryota; Fungi; Neocallimastigomycota; Neocallimastigomycetes; Neocallimastigales. The record is from RNAcentral.
AUAGAGACUCAGAGCUGCAUAUCAAUAAGCGGAGGAAAAGAAACUAACAAGGAUUCCCCUAGUAACGGCGAGUGAAGCGGGAAGAGCUCAAAUUUGAAAUCUUAAAGGGUUUCCCUUUACGAAUUGUAGUUUAAAGAAGUGUUUUCUGUUGGAGUUUCGGUAAAAGUUCUUUGGAAUAGGACAUCAUAGAGGGUGAGAAUCCCGUAUUUGACCGUUACUUUCCAGCUGUGUGAUACACUUUCAAAGAGUCGGAUUGUUUGGGAAUGCAGUCCAAGAUGGGUGGUAAAUUUCAUCUAAAGCUAAAUAUUGGCGAGAGACCGAUAGCGAACAAGUACCGUGAGGGAAAGAUGAAAAGAACUUUGAAAAGAGAGUUAAACAGUACGUGAAAUUGUCAAAAGGGAAGCGUUUGACACCAGUGUUGUUUAGUUGAAAAUCAAUUCAAUAGUUUUUGAUUCUAAGUAGUAUUGACUUCAUCAGCUUGCUGCUUUCUUCUCAGAAAUUAUUGAAUGCACUUUACAGUUAACAAGUCAACAUCAAUUUCUUUUGUUGUAAAAGGGUAAGAGGAAGGUGGCUUGCGCUUCGGCUCAAGUGUUUAUAGCCUUUUAUCUCUGCAAUCGGAGAGAUUGAGGUCUGCAGCGUAGAUCCUUCGGGGUUAGAUACAUUGGUGCUAAGCUAUAGCCUUGUAUAGACAACUUGUUGACUAUGCUCAGUCAUGUAGCUUACUCGCUGAUGCUAUUUUACCUACGCUUAGGAUGUUGACGAGACUGUCGAUCUC